AGGGAACUGCAGGGUGAGUGCAGCAGAGUGAAGACAUGAGGAAAAGUCUUCAUCCCUUGGGAAUGUCAUGUGCCACAGAUUGCAAACAAGUUUUGGUGCGGAGAAGAAAAUCCAGGGUCUGCAGUGGAGCUGCAGAUGCAUUAUAGAUGACAAAGAAGAAGUUAAAGACAGCUGCUGGGAUGGAACUUUCACCAGGCGAAAACGCAAGUGAAGAGCAGACUCGGUUGCUGUUUCAAGAGCAGGGGGUUGUCACAGACGGGGCCAUUGCAACAAGGUGGCCGGUGCCCCCGAGAAAGCCUGCUUAUUUAGGUCGAUGAGAAUGACAGUUUGGUGAAAACCCCUUAAAUGUGUUUGACUGAGACCCAAAAUUGUCAUAUGGUCGUAAUUUCUACAUAGUUUCAAAAUGAGACAGUGGUGGGUGUGUUGUGCUGACUAAAUCUCUUAUGUUAAUACUGUAAAUUUUAGCAGCCGAGAAAUGGUUCCAACCUGUCCUCCAAAUGAAACGUAACUAUGGGUCGUUUUGGGCGCUGGUU
Solea solea (common sole) is the source of this 533-nucleotide long non-coding RNA. RefSeq lists it as uncharacterized. The record is from RefSeq and is a predicted model, not a curated record. The transcript is spliced from 3 exons. Lineage: Eukaryota; Metazoa; Chordata; Actinopteri; Pleuronectiformes; Soleidae.